RNAcentral lists this unclassified non-coding RNA (306 nucleotides) under plant metagenome. RNAcentral describes it as "partial contains 5.8S ribosomal RNA, internal transcribed spacer 2, and large subunit ribosomal RNA". The stretch from base 1 to 105 matches the Rfam family "5.8S ribosomal RNA", at positions 50 to 154 of the family's 154-position model. The record is from RNAcentral.
GAAAUGCGAUAAGUAAUGUGAAUUGCAGAAUUCAGUGAAUCAUCGAAUCUUUGAACGCACAUUGCGCCCGCCAGUAUUCUGGCGGGCAUGCCUGUCCGAGCGUCAUUUCAACCAUCAAGCCCCCGGGCUUGUGUUGGGGACCUGCGGCUGCCCGCAGGCCCUGAAAACCAGUGGCGGGCUCGCUGUCACACCGAGCGUAGUAGCAAUCACCUCGCUCAGGGCGUGCUGCGGGUUCCGGUCGUUAAACAGCCUUACAAAACCCAAGGUUGACCUCGGAUCAGGUAGGAAUACCCGCUGAAGUUAAGC